GUGGAUCGACCAGGAGCAAGGAAGAACUAGGGUUUACCCUUGUUCUCACCAAAUUCGCCCAACUGACUAGGAAAAAUUGAUGUUUAUCAACUGCAUGUGUGAAGGAAGAAAGUUCAAACUCUAAGAAACCGGAAGGAUCACAAGACCGAGAUGGCAGAUGCAAGCAACGUUAAUGAUGAUAAUGAUACGGCUCGUCAAGAAGCAUUUCACAAUAGAGUCACGGAAGUGGCAGAAGGGGUUGUGCAAGCUAAUCUUCCACGAUUAGCUCAAGAAGUAGAAAGUCGGGUGUUGGGAGUUGUGGAUGCCAUGAUGACUAGCAAGAUUGAAGAACUGAAAGAACUGAUAGAGGGAUCUAAGGGCAAAAGCAAAGAACGAUGGUGCACACAUAAAGAUUUUAUGGCAUGUCAUCCGACGACGUAUGACGGUAAAAUCGAUCCAAUCGAAUGUC
This 448-nucleotide long non-coding RNA is filed under the name Helianthus annuus (common sunflower). RNAcentral's name for it is "sRNA HanXRQr2_Chr01g0023511". Lineage: Eukaryota; Viridiplantae; Streptophyta; Magnoliopsida; Asterales; Asteraceae. The record is from RNAcentral.